AGAACGAACGCUGGCGGCAUGCCUAAUACAUGCAAGUCGAACGAACUCUUCGGAGUUAGUGGCGCACGGGUGCGUAACGCGUGGGAAUCUGCCCCUUGGUUCGGAAUAACAGUUGGAAACGACUGCUAAUACCGGAUGAAUGACGAAAAGUCCAAAGAUUUAUCGCCAAGGGAUGAGCCCGCGUAGGAUUAGCUAGUUGGUGAGGUAAAGGCUCACCAAGGCAACGAUCCUUAGCUGGUCUGAGAGGAUGAGUCAGCCACACGUGGGACUGAGACACGGCCCAGACUCCUACGGGAGCAGCAGUAGGGAAUAUGGACAAUGGGCAAAGCCUGAAUCCAGCAAUGACCGCGUGAGUGAUAGAAGGCCGUUAGGGUUAGUAAAGUCCUUCGUUUUACCCGAGUAUGAUAAGUGUACAGUAUACGGAAGAAAUAACGACCCGCUAAACGUCCGUCGACCAGCACGCCGUUAGGU
Molecule: ribosomal RNA, 471 nt
Filed under: uncultured soil bacterium
Lineage: Bacteria
Description: bacterial SSU rRNA
Rfam family: Bacterial small subunit ribosomal RNA
Source: RNAcentral